RNAcentral lists this ribosomal RNA (1458 nucleotides) under uncultured SAR86 cluster bacterium. Its description in RNAcentral is "bacterial SSU rRNA". It matches the Rfam family "Bacterial small subunit ribosomal RNA". The record is from RNAcentral. Lineage: Bacteria; Pseudomonadati; Pseudomonadota; Gammaproteobacteria.
UUAAACAUGCAAGUCGAGCGGUAACAGACAUUUUGAUUCAGCUUGCUGAAUCUCGUGCUGACGAGCGGCGAACGGGUGAGUAACACGUAGGAAUCUACCCAGUAGCGGGGGAUAGCCCGAGGAAACUCGGAUUAAUACCGCAUACGCCCUACGGGGGAAAGGGGGCAUCUUUGAUGCUCUCACUAUUGGAUGAGCCUGCGUAAGAUUAGCUUGUUGGUAGGGUAAAGGCCUACCAAGGCGACGAUCUUUAGCUGGUCUGAGAGGACGAUCAGCCACAUUGGGACUGAGACACGGCCCAGACGUCUACGGACGGCAGCAGUUAAGAAUAUUGGACAAUGAGGGAAACCUUGAUCCCAGCCAUACCGCGUGUGUGAAGAAGGCCUUAGGGUUGUAAAGCACUUUAAGCGAAGAAGAAGAAAAGUAAGUUAAUACCUUACUUUUUUGACGUUACUCGCAGAAUAAGUACCGGCUAACUCCGUGCCAGCAGCCGCGGUAAUACGGAGGGUACAAGCGUUAAUCGGAAUUACUGGGCGUAAAGCGCGCGUAGGCGGUUAAGUAAGUUGGAUGUGAAAGCCCUGGGCUCAACCUAGGAACUGCAUUCAAAACUAUUUAACUAGAGUGCGAGAGAGGAGAGUAGAAUUUCUGGUGUAGCGGUGAAAUGCGUAGAUAUCAGAAGGAAUACCAAUGGCGAAGGCAGCUCUCUGGAUCGUCACUGACGCUAAGGUGCGAAAGCGUGGGUAGCAAACAGGAUUAGAUACCCUGGUAGUCCACGCCGUAAACGAUGAGAACUAGCCGUUGGGGAGAAUUAACUCUUCAGUGGCGCAGCUAACGCAUUAAGUUCUCCGCCUGGGGACUACGGCCGCAAGGCUAAAACUCAAAUGAAUUGACGGGGGCCCGCACAAGCGGUGGAUCAUGUGGUUUAAUUCGAUGCAACGCGAAGAACCUUACCUACCCUUGAAAUCCAGCGAAGUUCCUAGAGAUAGGAAUGUGCCCUUCGGGAACGCUGUGACAGGUGUUGCAUGGCUGUCGUCAGCUCGUGUCGUGAGAUGUAUGGUUAAAGUCCAGUAACGAGCGCAACCCCUAUCCUUAUUUGCCAGCGCAUAAUGGCGGGAACUAUAAGGAGACUGCCGGUCAUAAACCGGAGGAAGGCGGGGACGACGUCAAGUCAUCAUGGCCCUUAUGGGUAGGGCUACACACGUGAUACAAUGGGUGGUACAGAGGGUCGCCAAAGCGCGAGCUGGAGCCAAACCCUUAAAACCAUUCUUAGUCCGGAUUGGAGUCUGCAACUCGACUCCAUGAAGUCGGAAUCGCUAGUAAUCGCGAAUCAGAAUGUCGCGGUGAAUACGUUCUCGGGCCUUGUACACACCGCCCGUCACGUCAUGGAAGUGGGUUGCACCAGAAGUGGCUUGUUUAACCUUCGGGAAAACGGUCACCACGGUGUGAUUCACAACUGGGACG